Long non-coding RNA from Ziziphus jujuba (common jujube), 2641 nucleotides. RefSeq lists it as uncharacterized. The record is from RefSeq and is a predicted model, not a curated record. Lineage: Eukaryota; Viridiplantae; Streptophyta; Magnoliopsida; Rosales; Rhamnaceae. The transcript has 4 exons.
AGGAAAAUAGCAAGUGUGCUUAUAUAUAUACAUAUGAUACAGUAAGUUUUAUUAUCCUUUCCCAUUUGAAAGGAAUUCAUUUGUAUGGUUCUGGUUUCUUAUAUGCAUUCUCAAUUUUUGAUACACAUUUAUCUAGUUGUUUUGUAGAAGAGAGUUGCGCACUUUUGGUUCCCUAAUUGUAUAGCUUCUUUUGUUCUAAUUUCUGCAGUGAUUGUAAAGGGAAACACCGUUGGAUUUCUUUUGUGUCGUUUGAUUCCACUUCUCGUGGUCUCCAUCUUCAAGCUUUUACGUCCCUCUCUUAUUUAAUUCACCAAAAAAAAAACUCACAUAAAAAUAAAAAAAUAAAAAAUAAAGUAGUUCCUCUGUUUUUGGUAUCAAAAGGAAGCUCUCACUCUGUUUCCUUGUAAUUAUCUGUUCUUUCUGAAGUAGAUUUCUUGGCUUGCCAUUUAGCCAUUCAAUUCGAUUUUUCUUUUAGUUUUUUUAUUUUCUCUUGGUUUCUACCAGCAUUCUUUCUUUCUUUUCUUUCCUUUUUUUUUCCCCCUUUUAUACUGAAAAGCCAAAAAAAAAAAAAAAAAAGAAGAAGAUAUACUCGGCUCUAAUUGGUCUGUUUGGAACUCAGCCUUUAUGAAAACAGACCAUUUCAAGAGCGUGGUCUUGAAAUGUUGUUGGAGAGCAUCAAAUAUUGGCUUUAAAUGGAAUUGGAUUUACUGGUGUGGAUAAUAUUGUCUAUGAAUUAGACAAAGCUGGUUUUCCAGGAUUAAAGCUCUUUCAGUUGAAAAAUAAUCGGACGGACCAGUGCUUGAUUAACUCGAUGGAGCAAAAUCAUCCUUGCAUUGUGUUUGGCAGCUUGGAAAUAUUGCACCUUAGCCAUUUGAAAAAUCUCGAGAAGAUAUGUGAUGGAAAACUCGCAAAAGAAUCAUUUAAAAGAUUGAGUCAUAGAAGUAGAAAAUUGUGACAGAUUGAAGAAUCUUCUGCCAUUCUCCAUCAGUAAGCUGGAGGAAAUUGAAAUAAGAAAUUAUGGACUCUAGUUUCUCAUGAAGAAGGAGACAAUAGCAAGGAAGUUAUUGGAAAUUUUCCUAAAUUGUGCUUCUUGAGGUUGAUAAAGGUUCCAAGGCUUAAAAGUUUCUUCUCCAAAUUGAAUAAAUUAAUAGGUCAGAAAAGGAAAAGCAACCAGUGGAUGUAGAUUCUGUCAUGGCUGUGUUCAUUGGGAAGUUGGUUUUUCUCUCCAUUUUGGAGGAAUUGGAGUUGUCCAAUUGCAAUGAUUUAACAAGGAUAUGGGAUGACCAGAUUCUACCAAGCUUUACUUCUUCUUUUCUCAACUUAACAAAUUUGCUCGUAAAAGACUGCGGUUCUCUGGAAUAUCUAUUUUCAUCUGCUAUGGCAAGAGUUUUGUACAACUCAGAUUCCUUGAGAUAGGUGGCUGUGGGGCUAUGAAAGAAAUAGUUAGAAAUAGUGAGAAGAUGGAUAAGAUGUCCAUUAACGAACAGGUUGCAUUCCCCAGGUUGCAGUGUGUGACCAUUAGAGGCAUGAAUAAAUCGAAGAUAAUAGCAAAUAAUGCAGAAGUAUUUGGCAAAUUGGAAGAGGUAGAUGUUCAGGUUCGUAACUGCAACAAGCUAAUGAAGAUAUUUACAUCUAGUAUGCAGAGAGCACUAGGCAGUCUGAGAAGGUUGGACAUAAGUAGUUGUGAAAUGGUGGAAGAGAUAUUCGAAAUGCGAACGUUGGACGUCGAGUGUAGAAGAACUUACACAAGACACAAUACCCUCUCAGUUGAUUUUUUUGAGUUUAAGCUGUUUACGAAAACUGGAAUAUGUAUGGGGCAUAGAUCCCCGAGGAACUCUUACCUUCACACAUCUUGAGGAUGUUGCAGUUUUCGACUGUCCAAGUCUGAUAUCAAUAUUUCCACUUUCCAUUGCCAAAGGUCUUUCCAAACUUCAAAAUCUACAAACAACAAAUUGUUGAAGCUGUGGGGACUAAUGUACAAGUACCGCCUGAGUUUGUUUUCCCUCAAUUGGAAGAAAGGAAUUUGAACCAUUUGGAAAAUCUUGGAUAACCAUCCAGGACUUCACACCUCGAGUUGGCCUUCAUUAACAAGUUUAAUUGUGUAGAAAUGUGAGAAAGCGAAGGUAUUGCUUCAGAAUUGUCCAGCUUUCAGAAAAUCAUGUGCUCCAUUAUAAUGAUAGUAGUCCAAUCCAACAACCGUUAAUUUUCACUAAGGUAGCAUUCCCCAGCUUGCAAAAUGUAGAAAUUAAAGGCUUGGUUGAAUUGAAGAUGCUAUGGCAAUUCAAAUUCAGUACUGCAGAUUCCUUUUCCAAAUUGGAAGGUGUGAAAUUUUCAAAAUUGCAAGAAUCUAGUGAAGAUAUUUCCAUCUACCAUGCAGAUAAGAAUCCACAAUCCAAAGAGGUUGGAAAUAAGUGAUUGUGAGAUGGUAGAAGAGGUAUUUGAGAUCUAAAUGCCAAACGUUGAAGGAGCUUACAAUGUAAUACCUUCUGAGUCUGAGUUGAUUCAUUUGAGUUUAGAAAGUUUAUUAAAACUCAAGCAUGUGUGGAGCAAAGAUCCCCAAAGAACCCUUACCCUCCCACAUCUUAAGGAAGUCACAGUUAAGUUUUGUCCAUGUUUGGAAUCAAUUUUUCCACCUUAUAUU